RNAcentral lists this ribosomal RNA (348 nucleotides) under uncultured bacterium. RNAcentral describes it as "partial 16S ribosomal RNA". It matches the Rfam family "Bacterial small subunit ribosomal RNA", at positions 338 to 701 of the family's 1533-position model. The record is from RNAcentral.
CCUACGGGAGGCAGCAGUGGGGAAUAUUGGGCAAUGGGCGCAAGCCUGACCCAGCAACGCCGCGUGAAGGAAGAAGGCUUUCGGGUUGUAAACUUCUUUUAAGAGGGAAGAGCAGAAGACGGUACCUCUGGAAUAAGACACGGCUAACUACGUGCCAGCAGCCGCGGUAAUACGGAGGUGGCAAGCGUUGUCCGGAUUUACGGGGGGUAAAGGGCGUGCAGACGGGAAGACAAGUCAGAUGUGAAAUCCCGCGGCUCAACCGCGGAACUGCAUUUGAAACUGUUUUUCUUGAGUACCGGAGAGGUCAUCGGACUUCCUUGUGUCGCGGUGAACUGCGUAGAUAUCAGG